GACGAACGCUGGCGGCGUGCCUAAUACAUGCAAGUUGAGCGCUGAAGGUUGGUACUUGUACCGACUGGAUGAGCGGCGGACGGGUGAGUAACACGUAGGCAACCUACCCUUGAGAUUGGGAUAACUACCGGAAACGGUAGCUAAUACCGGAUACGACUUUUCCACACAAGUGGAAUUGUUAAAAGGCGGAUUUAUCUGCCGCUCAUGGAUGGGCCUGCGGUGCAUUAGCUCGUUGGUGAGGUAGUGGCUCACCAAGGCGACGAUGCAUAGCCGACCUGAGAGGGUGAUCGGCCACACUGGGACUGAGACACGGCCCAGACUCCUACGGGAGGCAGCAGUAGGGAAUCUUCCGCAAUGGACGCAAGUCUGACGGAGCAACGCCGCGUGAGUGAUGAAGGGUUUCGGCUCGUAAAACUCUGUUGUUAAGGAAGAACACUUGAGGUAGUAACUGGCCUUGAGAUGACGGUACUUAACCAGAAAGCCACGGCUAACUACGUGCCAGCAGCCGCCGUAA
This 514-nucleotide ribosomal RNA is filed under the name uncultured bacterium. Its description in RNAcentral is "partial 16S ribosomal RNA". It matches the Rfam family "Bacterial small subunit ribosomal RNA", at positions 28 to 523 of the family's 1533-position model. The record is from RNAcentral.